Pogoniulus pusillus (Red-fronted tinkerbird) is the source of this 625-nucleotide long non-coding RNA. RefSeq lists it as uncharacterized. The transcript has 4 exons. The record is from RefSeq and is a predicted model, not a curated record. Lineage: Eukaryota; Metazoa; Chordata; Aves; Piciformes; Lybiidae.
UUGGAGCAAGGUGAGAGUUGGUCUCCUCUCCCAAGUAAGAAGAGAGAGGAGAUGAGUAAAAGACCUCAAGUUAUGCCAAGGGAGGGUCAGGUUGGAUAUUAGAAGAAACCUCUUCAUUGAAAGCAGUCUCAAGCACUGGAACAAGCUACUCAGGUACCAGAGAUCUGAUGAUGAGAUGGAGAACUGGAGAUUUUUGACCAGGCUACUAAUCAAAAUCUCAGCACCAAGGUCUGCCCUGCCUAACCAAAAGAAGGACACCUGCUUAUUGACUCCAGUGGUGCCUCGGCUUGAUCAUAGCAACGUUCUUAAAUGGGUUACAAGUUAAGGAGACUGAGCUUUGUUGGAACACACAGUGAGAACUUUACCAAAACCUUACCUGCAAUACCCAGUAGUACAACAGUGUUUGUUCAUACCUGUUGCUUGGACAGGACUCUGAGCUUGCCAGAGCUUCCAGGGCAAGUUGUUUACUGGCUUUCAAGGUGUCAGAAGAAUGUCUCAUACAGACAGCUGUAACUGAGUGAAGCUGAUACUGUGUCAUCUGCCAUUUGUGUGUCAAUUUGUGAACCUCAUGAUCACACAGAGAAGCUGUGGGCUGAUGGUUGUUCUUGAGGGCUAUCUGCCGGCU